UACGGCCGUAUCACGCUGAAAACACCGGUUCUCAUACGAUCAACAAAGUCAAGCAACGUCGAACCUGAUCAGUACUUAGAUGAGUGACCACUUGGGAGUACCAGGUGUUGUAA
Acanthosepion pharaonis is the source of this 113-nucleotide non-coding RNA. The record is from the annotation of a GenBank genome assembly. Lineage: Eukaryota; Metazoa; Mollusca; Cephalopoda; Sepiida; Sepiidae.